GAACCUUCAGAUUUCAGAUUUGAUUAGGGUUUUAGCGUCUUCGGACCAGGCUUCAUUCCCCCCAAUUGUUGCUCCCUGUUUACUCCAUAUUUCUUCCUUCUUUUCAAAUUAGGGUUUCAGAUCCAGUGAAUGAACCCUUGUUAAAGGUUUGAUCUCUUACCUUACUUUCUCAGAUUCAUUUACAUGCGUUAUUGAUUGUUUGCAUGGAAAGAAAUAGUUUUCUUUUUUAAAUAGGUCUUUGGGGACCGAUAGAAAAAAAAAGUUUUCAGGUAUUUGCAGAUUGGUGUAAUGAUGAAAGAAUCUGACUUUCUUUCUCCUCUUGGAAUCUGAAAAGUUUCAUCAUGACAAACUUUUUAUACAUGUGUUUGUAUUUUUGAACUUUUCUACAUUGCUAUGAUUUUGCUAUGAUUGUUUCUUUUUGGAUCUUCAUGGUAUUGAAUGAUGAUGACGAUGAUAGUUUUUAUUA
This 466-nucleotide non-coding RNA is filed under the name Arabidopsis thaliana (thale cress). Lineage: Eukaryota; Viridiplantae; Streptophyta; Magnoliopsida; Brassicales; Brassicaceae. The record is from RNAcentral.